GGGGGGAUAGCUCGGAUGGGAGAGCGCGGCGUGCGCAACGCCGACGUCGGGAGUUCGACCAUCUUUCCUCCACCA
RNAcentral lists this transfer RNA (75 nucleotides) under Caballeronia glathei. RNAcentral describes it as "tRNA-Ala". The record is from RNAcentral. Lineage: Bacteria; Pseudomonadati; Pseudomonadota; Betaproteobacteria; Burkholderiales; Burkholderiaceae.